UACUAUGGCCAUGGCACUCUGAACGUGCCUGAUCUCAUCUGAUCUCAGAAGCUAAGCAGGGUCGGGCCUGGUUAGUACUUGGAUGAGAGACCACCUAGGAAGCCCAGGUGCUAAAGGUG
Molecule: ribosomal RNA, 119 nt
Filed under: Pteropus alecto (black flying fox)
Lineage: Eukaryota; Metazoa; Chordata; Mammalia; Chiroptera; Pteropodidae
Source: RNAcentral